This 286-nucleotide long non-coding RNA is filed under the name Salvia miltiorrhiza (redroot sage). RNAcentral describes it as "long non-coding RNA (SMIL_LNC009195)". The record is from RNAcentral. Lineage: Eukaryota; Viridiplantae; Streptophyta; Magnoliopsida; Lamiales; Lamiaceae.
AAUUACAAUGGAUUUAUGGUAUAAAUAUAAAACGAAUAUAUUAUGAGGCAAACAACUGUUCUGCGCAUUUGGUUAGGCGCUAUGUUAUAAUUAGCAAGGUCACUGGUUCGAAUCUCUACCAGCUUUCUUUUUUUUGUGUUUUUCUAUAGUUUCUUUCUUUAAGGUAUAUAGUUUCUUUCUCUUUUUUUUGUCUUUUUCUGUAGUUUCUUUCUUUAAGGUAUAUAGUUUCUUUCUCUUUUUUUUGUGUUUUUCUAUAGUUUCUUUCUUUAAGGUAUAUAGUUUCUUU